This 240-nucleotide ribosomal RNA is filed under the name uncultured bacterium. Its description in RNAcentral is "partial 16S ribosomal RNA". It matches the Rfam family "Bacterial small subunit ribosomal RNA", at positions 1254 to 1500 of the family's 1533-position model. The record is from RNAcentral.
AUGGCGACAUAGAGCGGAACCCGAAAACCUAGUCUCAGUUCGGAUUGGAGUCUGCAACCCGACUCCAUGAAGCUGGAUUCGCUAGUAAUCGCGCAUCAGCCACGGCGCGGUGAAUACGUUCCCGGGCCUUGUACACACCGCCCGUCAAGCCAUGGGAGCCGGGGGGUACCUGAAGUGCGUGACCGCAAGGAGCGCCCUAAGGUAAAACCGGUGACUGGGGCUAAGUCGUAACAAGGUAUC